AAAAACUAGAAAAUCGUCCUGCGUUUUCUUUUUGAAUCUCAACUAAUUAGCAGGAACAUCUCGUAUAUUUGCCUCUGGUAUAUGAGAUUAUUUAAGAGGAUAUAUCGAUCAUAGUUUUGUCAAUUAAAUUUUGAUCGACGAAUAAAACUUAAUUGACUGCACUCGGAGAAGUUCUUAGGGAUAUAUUUUUGGACAGGAGUUCGAUUCUCCUCAUCUCCACCA
RNAcentral lists this transfer-messenger RNA (222 nucleotides) under Finegoldia magna. Its description in RNAcentral is "partial transfer-messenger RNA". It matches the Rfam family "transfer-messenger RNA", at positions 148 to 374 of the family's 374-position model. Rfam says of the family: Bacterial tmRNA, also known as 10Sa RNA or SsrA, is named for its dual tRNA and mRNA-like properties. The record is from RNAcentral. Lineage: Bacteria; Bacillati; Bacillota; Tissierellia; Tissierellales; Peptoniphilaceae.